Molecule: ribosomal RNA, 370 nt
Filed under: Streptomyces albidoflavus
Lineage: Bacteria; Bacillati; Actinomycetota; Actinomycetes; Kitasatosporales; Streptomycetaceae
Description: bacterial SSU rRNA
Rfam family: Bacterial small subunit ribosomal RNA
Source: RNAcentral
GUUUGAUCCUGGCUCAGGACGAACGCUGGCGGCGUGCUUAACACAUGCAAGUCGAACGAUGAACCGCUUUCGGGCGGGGAUUAGUGGCGAACGGGUGAGUAACACGUGGGCAAUCUGCCCUGCACUCUGGGACAAGCCCUGGAAACGGGGUCUAAUACCGGAUAUGACCGUCUGCCGCAUGGUGGAUGGUGUAAAGCUCCGGCGGUGCAGGAUGAGCCCGCGGCCUAUCAGCUUGUUGGUGAGGUAGUGGCUCACCAAGGCGACGACGGGUAGCCGGCCUGAGAGGGCGACCGGCCACACUGGGACUGAGACACGGCCCAGACUCUUACGGGAGGCAGCAGUGGGGAAUAUUGCACAAUGGGCGAAAUUC